This 23-nucleotide non-coding RNA is filed under the name Arabidopsis thaliana (thale cress). The record is from RNAcentral. Lineage: Eukaryota; Viridiplantae; Streptophyta; Magnoliopsida; Brassicales; Brassicaceae.
UAGCGGUAUGUCUUUUUGGCCUA